UGUUUAACAAAGAGAAGCAAAGCCGCGAGGUAGAGCAAAUCUCAAAAAAAACAUCUCAGUUCAGACUGCAGGCUGCAACUCGCCUGCACGAAGUCGGAAUUGCUAGUAAUCGUAGGUCAGCAUACUACGGUGAAUACGUUCCCGGGCCUUGUACACACCGCCCGUCAAACCAUGAGAGUUGGCAACACCCGAAGUCGGUAGUCUAACCGCAAGGAGGACGCCGCCGAAGGUGGGGUUGAUGAUUAGGGUUAAGUCGUAACAAGGUAAC
Molecule: ribosomal RNA, 268 nt
Filed under: uncultured bacterium
Lineage: Bacteria
Description: partial 16S ribosomal RNA
Rfam family: Bacterial small subunit ribosomal RNA
Source: RNAcentral